RNAcentral lists this ribosomal RNA (460 nucleotides) under uncultured bacterium. Its description in RNAcentral is "partial 16S ribosomal RNA". It matches the Rfam family "Bacterial small subunit ribosomal RNA", at positions 338 to 795 of the family's 1533-position model. The record is from RNAcentral.
CCUACGUGUGGCAGCAGUGAGGAAUAUUGGUCAAUGGACGCAAGUCUGAACCAGCCAUGCCGCGUGCAGGAAGACGGCUCUAUGAGUUGUAAACUGCUUUUGUACGAGGGUAAAUCCCGAUACGUGUAUCGGGUUGAAAGUAUCGUACGAAUAAGGAUCGGCUAAUUCCGUGCCAGCAGCCGCGGUAAUACGGAAGGUCCGGGCGUUAUCCGGAUUUAUUGGGUUUAAAGGGAGCGUAGGCCGCAUGUCAAGCGUGCUGUGAAAUGUCCGGGCUCAACCCGGGCCUUGCAGCGCGAACUGGCGUGCUUGAGUCCGCGGAAAGCAGGCGGAAUUCGUCGUGUAGCGGUGAAAUGCUUAGAUAUGACGAAGAACCCCGAUUGCGAAGGCAGCUUGCUGCAGCGGAACUGACGCUGAUGCUCGAAAGCGCGGGUAUCGAACAGGAUUAGAUACCCCUGUAGUC